CCCACAUAUUCCCUCCCCUUAUCCUGAGAGGAAACUCAAUUACACAUACAGUUAAAACAUACUUUCUACCCAACUUUCAUAACUCUAAAACCAUACAUCACAUUCACAUAAAAUUACAUAUUCACAAUCAAUCCAUUCAGGGGAACAACAUAUUAAAAAAUGGCAUGAAUCCGACCAGGGGUUCAAAAGUUAGUAAAAGUAUCUUUUGAGCCCUGGCUGGCACAUGGCUAUCUGGCUCAAACAGGUUUUACAGAGCCCUCUAUCCUGGAGACAAUGGG
This 278-nucleotide long non-coding RNA is filed under the name Pelobates cultripes (western spadefoot toad). The record is from RNAcentral. Lineage: Eukaryota; Metazoa; Chordata; Amphibia; Anura; Pelobatidae.